Molecule: non-coding RNA, 3044 nt
Organism: Coturnix japonica (Japanese quail)
Lineage: Eukaryota; Metazoa; Chordata; Aves; Galliformes; Phasianidae
Source: RefSeq, a predicted model, not a curated record
UGUACAUCUCAGGGGAGGUUUAGGCCAAAAUGCCUGUAACAAGUUGAACUACCCCUGAAAAAUUAUUGCAAGAGCUGAAUGUGUGAGACAGGCAGAAUGAAGAGUCUGCAAGUAGACAGGGGGAGGGAGCAUGUUUUCAAGUGUUUUAUAAUUACUAGGAUUCAUUUAAUCCUGUUUACAUUUACCUUUGCGCAUGAAAUUCAUAACCAUGGUGUGCAACCAGGCACGGUGGUGGUGAUAUACAAAAUCUUAUUAAUGAAGAUGAUGGGAGGAUUUGGGAUGUGGAAGGAGGGGUGUUGUGAUGGAAUUAACACCCGCUGCUUUUCAUCCCUUUGGAAAACAAAUUGCUUGUCAAGAGACUCAGUGGGGUCCAACUACAAUCAGCCCUCAAGGAAAAGAAGUGGGAUAUGAAACACAAUGGCUCACACAGGCUCCAAAAUGUCCUGGCUCUUUAGGUGUUGAGUAAGCAGCUGUAUUGAAGACAGCUGAAUGCUGAGGGAGAGAGGUUUCCCAUUGCUGCCUGGAUGGAUGGUCCUGUCAGUCCUGUCUUAGUCCCAGGGGAUGGUCUCCUACACUCUCCCUUGUGUGAUGACUGCAUGACUACACCCCUUGGAUCCUAUCACCAUUCAUCUUUGGAAAGGAGCAAAACGGAGCACUGUUUAUCAGAAAGCAGAGAGCCGCAGCAGCAAUUCCCUGACCCAUGAAUAAGAUUUGAUCAGCAGAUGCCUCCUUUCAGCACUGAGCACUACUUCCAUCUAUUCUGUGCUCCGCAAAGUCCUGGUUACGAGCACCGAGCAAACCUUCCUGAAGCACAGACCCUCAGAGGACCUGAGCAAGAACACCCUGUGCACGCAGGCCUGGCUUUAAGGUAUCAUUUGGAGUUCAGCCGCAGGUUAAUCUGUCUGUAGCACCAGAUCCACUCCCAGCUUUUCUUUGGAAAGGGUCCAUGUGCUUUCUGCAGGCUCAAAGAGCAAGAGAAAGCUCCAAAUCCAUCCACAUUAAUUUACUUUUCUUCCCAGUCUUUGACUGCUACAGAACUCCCCAGCCUGAGCUCUCAUUUGUCAGCAUUUGGGGCUCACUGGCAGCUUCUCAGCUCCCCGCAGCAGAACAACACAGUCACCCCCAGCAGCCAAAAGCACCAAACAAGGAGGGACAGCCUCAGCUGUACACACUGCUUUUCAGUAAUGACCCAAUUUACUUUGGGGUUUUUUUUUGCCUCUUUCUCUUUUUUUUUUCUCCCCUGCUAUAAAGAUUUAUGGUGAGGAUGGUGCCCAGCUGCAUCUGAGUGCAAUAAUCCUCCUGUGGUUGGUGGAAACCAAGCAGCUAUUCCUCCAGCUUGUUAGCAGUCAGGAAGAUGGAAGGAAGUGGGAGGAAACUGGAGGGUGAGGGUUUUGAGUGCCUCACUCAUCACUGCUGAACCCCGCGCUAUUUAUGGUGCAAUUAUCACCGCAGACAGACUCCUUUAUCAUCCAGCCAAUAUUCUGGGUACAAAUCCUAUUGCAGCACAGUCACUCCAUACAUCAUCCAGGCACAACAGCAGCCAGGUGAAGAGGUUCAGAGCACUGAAUAGCUCUGCACAAGGAAGGGAAGAGGGAACCAGGCUCCUGCCUGCCCCCUAAAUACCACACUUCUGCCCCAAAUCCUUUUUCUUUAGGAGGGAAGUGAUGCAUUUUUCCUUCUUCAUGCUGACAUCUCUUCCAAAGUCUGGCUCUAUUUCUCCAAGGAAAAGGCUCCCAUGCAGCUCACACCUCUCUUGGUUGGUUUGGGGCAAGGCUGUGGAGCAGCAUGGGCCAUAAACAGUGCCAAUGCAGCUGGGAUUCUGGAAUAAGAUUGUGGUGUGGAUUCUCUGGUGUCUUCUAUGGUUAAAUCACACAUCCUACUGCCAGGAACCUUUGUUAGUAAAGGGUUGGUUAAGAUGAUCUCCAGAGAUCCCUUCUAACCCCUUGAACUUUGUGACACUGUGAUUCUCUUCCCCUUCUGUUUCACUGCCUGUGUCAGAACCUUGGUAUACCUGGCAACCCCUUCCCUUGUGUCAAAUAUUGGAGUGAGGGGGUGGGAGCCAGCAAGGAUGCAAGAAGCUGGGUCAUCAGGCAUCACACACCUGUUCCCAGUACAGCACAGAUCAGCCCCACCACCUUUCCUUUGUCACUGCAGGCUGCAUUUACUCAGGGAUAAACCUUAACACCUGCAAUGAGUGGAAUUCUUCAGGCACAGGGCUGUAAUAACCAUUGCUCACAAUGCUCACUUACUUUCUAAUUGCUGAAGACUUCUUCUUUUCCACAUUCUCAGUGCUUGAAAGGGGAAGAACGCAUCUAGGAAAUGUAAUUUAAUACCCCAAACGUGCUCACUUAAUUGCAAUCCCCAUAAGCCAGCCACACAAAACUAAACAAAUUCGAUUAAUUUAUUUCAAUUUGCACAAGUCUCCCUCUCAGACUGUAAUUAAUGGAGGGAAACAAUUAAGGUAAACACAGCACAGCUGAGAGAGCUGUUCUCGCUAGAAGUCACAUUUUAUUUUAAUGGUGCUGUAUUUAUAUAAGAAGUUCCACACUUUUAACAAGUUUCCCAUUACCUUGGUGUUUAAUCAGCGCUGUAAAUAUUUUGCUUCAGCUGAAAUGGUUUUUGUGAAGCCAUAAAUCAACAGGGAGGGAGAGAGCAGGGAGGGAGUGUGUUGCUAUAGGAGGAAUGCAGAGACACGGGCUGCUGCUGGAGCCUUAGGUCUCAGCAUCAUGACACUGUAUAUACAUACAGCCCCAUAUAGGCUUUAUCUCUACAUGCUGGCACUGCCCACUGAGCACUGAAAAGCAGGAAUGAUGUGAUCCAUCUGUCAUUGCUCCAAAGUGUUGUUGCUACAGCAUGAAAAGAAAAAUUGACGCUGCUUUUCCUCCUUUCUUCAUUAACCUUUAGAUAUAACAACACGCUCACAUUUCAGUGCAGGCACAGUCUUACCAGAGAUUUUAACUCUAACAAACAAUCUCGUGUUGAUUUUCUGCUAUCUCUCUCAGUCUAAUUAGUUGGGAAAUACACCAUUUGCUAAAGAAAGACGA